GAUGAACGCUGGCGGCGUGCUUACCACAUGCAAGUCGACCGAUAAGCCCAGCCUGCUGGGUUGGUUAUGUGCGAACCGGUUGGGUAAACCGUAAGUAACUUCCCUUUAUUUUUGGAUUAGCCUUGGGAAGUAAGUCUAAUACCGGAACGGAUCCCCUUCCGCACUGUGGGGUUUUGAAAUGUUUAACGGUUUUGGAUGGACUUGCGGCCCAUUAGCUUGUUGGUUAGGUAAUUGCUCACCAAGGGGGCGACGGGUAGCCGGCCUGAGAGGGGGACCGGGCACACUGGGACUGAGAGACGGACCAGAAUCCUACGGGCGGCAGCAGUGGGGAAUAUUGCACAAUGGGCGAAAGCCUGAUGCAGCGACGCCGCGUGAGGGAUGACGGCCUUCGGGUUGUAAACAUCUUUCAGUAGGGAAGAAGCGAAAGUGACGGUACCUGCAGAAGAAGCACCGGCUAACUACGUG
This 465-nucleotide ribosomal RNA is filed under the name uncultured bacterium. RNAcentral's name for it is "partial 16S ribosomal RNA". It matches the Rfam family "Bacterial small subunit ribosomal RNA", at positions 28 to 507 of the family's 1533-position model. The record is from RNAcentral.